UAAUUGAUUAUCUAAACCUUAUUUACUAAUUCUGGAUAGAUGAGUUAGCUAUAUGAAAUGUGCUUCUAGAUUCUCCAUGUUCCAGUAAUGGCACAAAUUCAUUUAUAUUAUACCUAAUGUGACUUUUUUGUUUGCGAUGAAAACUACAGAGAGAUGAUAGGUAGAACCACCUCUAUUCACCUUUGCACUUUCUUGAAAAGAAGCAAUUCAAAUAGUCUUGCUCAAAGAUGUGUCAGACCAUCUGGGAAACACACAUAUCGAGAGACUACACAAAUUAUAUAAGAAAGUUAGGUUCCUAAUGGUAUGCCACCAGGGAGGAAUCAUGGAAGGCUAUGUGUACCUAAACAAGUGCAUAGAACAAUUUAGGGAACUAAAGGAAGGUCUAUCUACCCAUUCAAAUAGUUCGUCUUCUCUGCGUG
This is a long non-coding RNA of Lolium rigidum, 419 nucleotides long. RefSeq lists it as uncharacterized. The record is from RefSeq and is a predicted model, not a curated record. Lineage: Eukaryota; Viridiplantae; Streptophyta; Magnoliopsida; Poales; Poaceae. The transcript is spliced from 3 exons.